Molecule: ribosomal RNA, 450 nt
Filed under: uncultured bacterium
Lineage: Bacteria
Description: bacterial SSU rRNA
Rfam family: Bacterial small subunit ribosomal RNA
Source: RNAcentral
UCCCAGACUCCUACGGGAGGCAGCAGUGGGGGAUAUUGCACAAUGGGGGAAACCCUGAUGCAGCGACGCCGCGUGAGUGAAGAAGUAUUUCGGUAUGUAAAGCCCUCUCGGCAGGGAAGAAGAAAUGACGGUACCUGAAUAAGAAGCACCGGCUAAAUACGUGCCAGCAGCCGCGGUAAUACGUAUGGUGCAAGCGUUAUCCGGAUUUACUGGGCGUAAAGGGAGCGCAGGCGGCGCGCCAAGUCUGAUGUGAAGCCCCGGGGCUCAACCCCGGGCAUGCAUUGGAAACUGGCGGGCUGGAGUGCCGGAGAGGUAAGCGGAAUUCCCAGUGUAGCGGUGAAAUGCGUAGAUAUUAGGAGGAACACCAGUGGCGAAGGCGGCUUACUGGACGGCAACUGACGCUGAGGCUCGAAAGCGUGGGGAGCAAACAGGAUUAGAUACCCCCCGUAC